GAAAUAUGAUGUUUUCAAGUGAAAGCUGCUAACUUAUCACCAUAGCGGUUAAAUCCCGUUAAUAUUUCU
This 69-nucleotide transfer RNA is filed under the name Gyna capucina. RNAcentral describes it as "tRNA-Ser". The record is from RNAcentral. Lineage: Eukaryota; Metazoa; Arthropoda; Insecta; Blattodea; Blaberidae.